RNAcentral lists this long non-coding RNA (2497 nucleotides) under Podarcis muralis (Common wall lizard). RNAcentral's name for it is "lncRNA (ENSPMRG00000017273.1)". The record is from RNAcentral. Lineage: Eukaryota; Metazoa; Chordata; Lepidosauria; Squamata; Lacertidae.
CAAUUUUAUACAUUUCAGUAAUUUUACAAUCAUUUUAACAUUUGAAACUUGACUUCCUUCCCUCUCUUUCUGCAGUUCCUUAAUUUUUUUAAUAUAUUUUCCGCACAUUCCAAAUUAACUUAAUCAUUUAUUCAUCUGCUAUCGAUGUAUACUCUUAUAAAACUGCAGGUAUUACAAUAAUCCUGCUAAUGUUCUUAUCUGUUUUACAGUUUGUAAAUAUUCAAUAAACCAUUUCCAUUCUUUUAUAAAAAGUUUUAUCUUGAUUUCUCAUUUUUCCUGUAAGUUUCGCCAUUUCUGCAUAUUCCAUAAGUUUUUGUAUCCAUUCUUCUUUCGUCAGGACUUCUUCUUCUUUCCAUUUUUGGGCAAAUAACAUUCGUGCCGCUGUAGCCUCAUACAUGAAUAAAUUCCUUUACAGUUUGGGUAGUUCUGUCCCUAUAAUUCCACAAAAGGUCCCAGGUUCAGUCCUCACCAUCUCCAGUUAGAAAGGUUCAGGGAGCAAGCAAUGAGAAAAGGCUCUCUGCCCAAGAUUGUAGAGAGCCAGCACUACUUAGAGUCGACAGAUCUUCUCUAGAUAGACAAAUAGGUUGACGGUAUAGACAGCAGCUUGCAUAUGAAUCUCUGGUUUACAUCAAGGCAAGAGCACCUUGAGCUUAACUUUUAGCUGUGUGUUCUUAUGAUGAUUUUUUGGAAUUGUCUCCAUUGGAUUCAAACCCAAUGGUAGCCUUAUUGGGGGUUCCAGGUAUUUUUAUUUAUUUAUUUAUUAUUAUUAUUAUUAUUAUUAUUAUUAUUAUUAUUAAAGAGAGGUCUUCUUCCAUCUUUUCUUCACAGGUCGCAAAGUUAUUGAUUGUUCUACAUGUGCACACUCCUGAUCUGGAAGAUAAAUUUGGAAGUGCAAGCUGCUCUAUCUCCACCUGUCAAGCAUUCCAAAAUGGUACCUUCUGGAACUGGAUCCUGAGCUAUCUGCCUUUCCAGCUGAUCUGUUCCAGAGUUCGCUGAAUGGAAGAACUUGGAUUUCCAAAGGCAGAAAUACAAGUCAAAGCAUCAUCGCCACUGCGUAUCUUCAUGAUUGCACACAAGGAGGUUCAUUUUUCUUUUUGUGCAUGCAUGCAUACAUAUAAACUUGUAUGUUGGGUGAUGGACCUAUCUGGAGGGCCACAGUGUGUCUGCAUUAUGAAACAUGACUUCUGCACAAAGACACACAAGUUUCUCUUCAGUAGCUAGCAAAGUAGGGCUUUUCUUCCUCUCCUUCAAGAUGAGUGAAAGCUUCUAUAGCCAGGCUAUUGAUACUUCUCAAUAGUCUCCCAGGAAUAUCCCCUCUUAUUUUGACUCUGCACAUCUCAUCAUGAGCCCCCAGGAAAAUUCUCGUUUGGAAUAGUAUUAUAUUUGAACCCAUGUGUUGUACCAAUGAUAAACUGUUCAAGGAUAAAUAGGUGGAGUGGUCAAGGCCACUUGUCAUGUUCAGAGAGAAAUGCUCUUCAGUUACUAAGGCUCCCAGCCCCCACCCUUACCUGGGAGUAGUCCCAUUGAAUACAAUAGGUUUCACCUUUGAGUAGAAAUGGUUUGGAUUGUGCUGCAAAUGGACAAGUCACUUAAAAAUGGCUCAGGAAAUGGUCUCAACAGCUUUCCAGUGGAAUUUGGCCAGCGGGCCUUGGAGCUGGCUUGGAGUGAAGGGCCGUACCUAAACAAGUAGCCAGAAGAGCACCCUGAGGAAGUGUCUGCUGUGCAGAUGCUAAUUCUAGAGACCCCAAGGAUGGAGUAGAGCCCUGAAGAUGAGCAACACUAGGCAAACUAGCAAUGGAACUUUUUAAAAAAUCUAAUAAAUAAAUAAAAAUAGGGAGAAAACAGAGAGAUUCACGAGGGACACAUAGCAGAAUAAUCCUGUUGCACACCACCCCAAUCUCUGAGCGGUGUGAGAUUCCAGGGGUUCCAGGGUUCGUGUUUCCUUUGGAAAUGAGGCACAGUGGAGACUGUGGUAUCUUUAUGAUAUAUGGCUUAUUUACACACAUAUAUAACCUGAGCCUACAAUGUAGGGGCUCACAGCAUUAUACACCAAGACGUUCUUGCUUCUUCCAUGGCCUCAGUCUUGGAUCCUAACAGAAGUCAGCCAUGGCCCUCUGUCCCUCUGUACAGCUUGCUGCAAUUAACAGAUUACAAUAUCACUGCAAUCUUAAACUCUAAUCUGCUUUAUCUCUGCUGAUUCAACGCUCAGGGCAGAUUGCUCCACCCUGUGGGAAUGUUCAGGGAGGCAGGAGAGGAUAUGUUGUUUAAUGAUAUCCUUCCUAACUUGUGUUAUCAAGUUCUAUAUCUUAGCAGAGUUUAAACAUUCCCCUUUAAAGGUACAGCGGCUUGCUUGUUGCAGGCUCAUCUGAGCCUCUCUCUAUAAGAUUCCUGGUAAGAUCCCUUCUUGUCCCUCUUAAAAAGAAUAGAUACACGGCAAUCUUAUUAAAGUCUAUAUAAAAGUAAUUUACUCACAUUCAUUCAGUUCACAGUUGGAUCC